Molecule: ribosomal RNA, 194 nt
Filed under: uncultured Pseudomonas sp.
Lineage: Bacteria; Pseudomonadati; Pseudomonadota; Gammaproteobacteria; Pseudomonadales; Pseudomonadaceae
Description: partial 16S ribosomal RNA
Rfam family: Bacterial small subunit ribosomal RNA
Source: RNAcentral
CCUACGGGAGGCAGCAGUGGGGAAUAUUGGACAAUGGGCGAAAGCCUGAUCCAGCCAUGCCGCGUGUGUGAAGAAGGUCUUCGGAUUGUAAAGCACUUUAAGUUGGGAGGAAGGGCUGUAAGCGAAUACCUUGCAGUUUUGACGUUACCGACAGAAUAAGCACCGGCUAACUUCGUGCCAGCAGCCGCGGUAAU